RNAcentral lists this ribosomal RNA (442 nucleotides) under uncultured bacterium. RNAcentral's name for it is "partial 16S ribosomal RNA". It matches the Rfam family "Bacterial small subunit ribosomal RNA", at positions 338 to 795 of the family's 1533-position model. The record is from RNAcentral.
CCUACGGGUGGCAGCAGUGGGGAAUAUUGGGCAAUGGAGGAAACUCUGACCCAGCAAUGCCGCGUGAAUGAAGAAGGUCUUCGGAUUGUAAAGUUCUUUAGUCAGGGAAGAAUAAAAUGACGGUACCUGAAGAAUAAGCUCCGGCUAACUACGUGCCAGCAGCCGCGGUAAUACGGAGGAUGCGAGCGUUAUCCGGAUUUAUUGGGUUUAAAGGGUGCGUAGGCGGGAUGCCAAGUCAGCGGUAAAAAUGCGGUGCUCAACGCCGUCGAGCCGUUGAAACUGGCGUUCUUGAGUGGGCGAGAAGUAUGCGGAAUGCGUGGUGUAGCGGUGAAAUGCAUAGAUAUCACGCAGAACUCCGAUUGCGAAGGCAGCAUACCGGCGCCCUACUGACGCUGAGGCACGAAAGCGUGGGUAUCGAACAGGAUUAGAUACCCUGGUAGUC